Molecule: ribosomal RNA, 301 nt
Filed under: uncultured bacterium
Lineage: Bacteria
Description: partial 16S ribosomal RNA
Rfam family: Bacterial small subunit ribosomal RNA
Source: RNAcentral
CAGCCGCCGCGGUAAUACGAAGGGGGCUAGCGUUGCUCGGAAUGACUGGGCGUAAAGGGCGCGUAGGCGGCGGCCAAAGUCAGGCGUGAAAUUCCCGGGCUCAACCUGGGGGCUGCGUUUGAUACUUGAUUGCUAGAGUGGGGAAGAGAGUCGUGGAAUUCCCAGUGUAGAGGUGAAAUUCGUAGAUAUUGGGAAGAACACCGGUGGCGAAGGCGGCGACCUGGUCCUUGACUGACGCUGAGGCGCGAAAGCGUGGGGAGCAAACAGGAUUAGAUACCCGGGUAGUCCCUGUCUCUUAUAC